Haliotis rubra (blacklip abalone) is the source of this 348-nucleotide long non-coding RNA. RefSeq lists it as uncharacterized. The record is from RefSeq and is a predicted model, not a curated record. NCBI's taxonomy places the organism in Eukaryota, Metazoa, Mollusca, Gastropoda, Lepetellida, Haliotidae. The transcript is spliced from 3 exons.
CAGGUGACGACGCAAACCUCAUCGUCACUUUCAACAUCAACCAGAAUGACUACACCUUCAUCAAAAACAAGGCAGCUGGGAUUAAGGUAUUUCUCCAUCAUCCGGACGUCCACCCAGACGCUAGCUCUACUGUGGUGAUGGCUGCACCCGGGUUCUCAACAUAUGUUGCCAUACAAACAUUUCAGUAUCUUUACCUGCCCCUCCCGUACAAGGCAUUUGAUGACACUAAUUGUCUGGACACAAACAGUCCCAAUUUUGUGAAUCCCCUGAAGAUCUACUCCCUCUACACCUACGACCAUUGCGUCAUGGAGUGCGUACAGAUGGAGGCAUUUCGACAGUGUGGAUGUC